This is a non-coding RNA of Chrysemys picta bellii (western painted turtle), 2167 nucleotides long. Lineage: Eukaryota; Metazoa; Chordata; Testudines; Emydidae. The record is from RefSeq and is a predicted model, not a curated record.
UGGGGCAAAAUCAGUACUUGGUCCUGCUAGUGAAGGCAGGGGGCUGGACUCAAUGACCUUUCAGGGUCCGUUCUAUGAGAUAGGUAUAUCUCCAUAUAUUUUUUAAGGGUCUGGGUGGUGGUAUCGAACGAAGAUUACCCCCCAUUUACUCACUCAUCAGUCAUUCACUCUGGCUCUCCUUGCUGUAAGGUCACUACAAUUAGAUCGACCUGUGCUCCAUGCUGGAACUUUAUACAUGUGAUAUUUACUUUUGCAUGGGCCCAUAUUUGCCGACCAAUAGGUUCAAUAUCAAUCGUACACGCAGACUUUGCCAGUCCUUUAUCAAAUCUACUUCUGCUCAAAGGGACCCUGCUCCCAGGAUCCUUUGCAGCCCUUCAGCCAUGUUUGUCAUGUCAAGUUGUGCUCACACCAUUCCUUCAGCACGGCCACACCAAUCUGGCACCAUCCCAACAGUCCCCCAUUCGAUAUUCAAUUACCAAAGAGAAUUGUAAUAUCGCAUCAAUCAGACCUGCAAUUUGUACGCUAACUAUUAGAUCCUGUGUCUCCUUUUCUGGUUUCUAUAAAACUUAAAGCAUUAUCUUGACAUGAUUAGUAACAUAAGCCAACAACUCAAUCUUAUAAAUUUUCCGCAAAGCUUGUAUUUCCUUGUAUUGCUUACGCAUCUGAUAUCCCCAACAGAAACGCACAAGGAAUAAUAGGGCAGUUCCAGAAAUCCAAAAUAACAUUGCCCAUUCAACUCCAUUCCAUGUUGUGACUUGACAUACAACAUCGUACCAAGCACACAUUUGAGAUCUUAUUUUUUUUACAGCCUUUUCAACAAUUUUAUACUUUCGGGCAAGCAUACCUUUAACAGAUAUUAUCAGUCUAGUGACCGUUCUAUUUGGUCCAGUGUGCCUUGAUGAGUUUGUAUCUCCAUAUCCCAAUCUGUAUCAUUCCACUCCCCCUCCCUCAAAUUUGGCGAUGUUAAUCUAGGGUGAGGUUUUAGUCAUCUGAGGGUGCCAUUGAUAUUGUUCGUACUGGAAAUGAGUUAUAAUCUCCAUGAGUACACCACAUCCCUUGGUCCAUAAACCAGGUUUGGUUGGUUGGUUGUUACAUUACCCUUUUCCUUUUGAUACCAACAUAUAUCUUGGUUUAUUUCAUAUAAUCCCCACCAACCAUUUUUCCACUGUAAAUUCAUGGCGAGAUUACCUCCUUUCCAUUCCAAAUUCCAAUUUCCUUCACACCCAUUCAGGUCUCUGUUUUCUAGGUGGGAGUAGGAAUUCAGGACCUGUCAUUAACUCAAAAGGACCAGUUUAGUUCGAUGUUUACACUCCUCCUGGGAAACGGCUGUUAUCAGUAUGUCAUCCACAUCAGAAGUAACCCCCGGCUUAUCCAAAUCAGAGUUGAUCCCACUUCCUUGUCACAUGUGCAUGUGCUAUAACUGAAGCAUCAUGGUAACCCGCGGGGACACGUUGAAAUGUGAGCUGUUUGUUCUGGAAUGUACAAGCAAAUCGAGGCUGACUCUCAGGGGCUAAUGGAAUGGCAAAGAACCAGCACUAUCCAAUACAGAGAACCAGUUAGCAGCUGCAGCUAUUCCCGCCAGUGUAGCUGGGAGCUUAGCUGCUAUUGGUGCCAUCGGGACGCAUUGAUUUUUCUAUACUCAAGUGUGAGGCACCACCUUCCGUCCGCUUUCCGCCCAGGCCAGAGUGGAGAAUUGUAUGGACUUCGGCACUCCACCACCACUUCUUGUUCCUUUCAAUCCUGUAGCCGUUCUUCUAUAUGUGGAACGGCUUCGGCAGGAUAGGAAUAUCGAGGAACUGGUUUUACAAAUGUUCCUACAAUUUCCACUGCUGCUUGUAUGCCCCCAAUUUGGAUUUCUUCUUGGCCCACAGCAUAGGGAACUUUUGUGUCCAGUCAUGAUCUGGUAGCACCACAGCUGCAGUGGCUUUGCAAGCUCCUUUCCUCUAUCCUCCUGAAAUCACCUGCUCGCUCAUAAUCCGUCUCCCCUUUCCACAGCCAACCUCCUGCCAGAUCAAUGAUCCAUUUCUCCUGCUGUACCACAUCUGCACCUGAGAUGGCAUUUUCAGUCCGGCUGUUACAGACCCACUGUAUCUGUCCAAAACUUACUGUGUCCUAUCACCCGUGGCAGGUUUUUCAAUAAAAUUCCUUUCGCUCCUGUGCCCUGAAA